AAUAUCAUUUUUGAAGACCUAUCCAUAGAUACCCCACACGUAUGGGUUUGAUGAAAAACAUUUUUUUGAGUUUCAAUUUUGACGUAUUAAAAAAAAACUACUUACUAGAUCUCGUUCAAACCAAUUUUCGGUGGAAGUUUGCAUAAUAAUGUACAUCAUAUAUUUUUUUUAGUUUUAUCAUUCUCUUAUUUUAGAAGUUACAGGGGGGGGACACACAUUUUUCCACUUUGGAACUGUCUCUCGCGCAAACUAUUCAUUUUAGAAAAAAAUGAUAUUAGAAACCUCAAUAUCAUUUUUGAAGACAUAUCCAUAGAUACCCCACACGUAUGGGUUUGAUGAAAAAAAAUUUUUUGAGUUUGAGGUCUAAGUAUGGGGAACCCCCAAAA
Molecule: long non-coding RNA, 386 nt
Organism: Cydia amplana
Lineage: Eukaryota; Metazoa; Arthropoda; Insecta; Lepidoptera; Tortricidae
Exons: 2
Source: RefSeq, a predicted model, not a curated record